This 1369-nucleotide ribosomal RNA is filed under the name uncultured bacterium. RNAcentral's name for it is "bacterial SSU rRNA". It matches the Rfam family "Bacterial small subunit ribosomal RNA", at positions 28 to 1381 of the family's 1533-position model. The record is from RNAcentral.
GACGAACGCUGGCGGCGUGCCUAAUACAUGCAAGUAGAACGCUGAAGAGAGGAGCUUGCUCUUCUUGGAUGAGUUGCGAACGGGUGAGUAACGCGUAGGUAACCUGCCUUGUAGCGGGGGAUAACUAUUGGAAACGAUAGCUAAUACCGCAUAACAAUGGAUGACACAUGUCAUUUAUUUGAAAGGGGCAAUUGCUCCACUACAAGAUGGACCUGCGUUGUAUUAGCUAGUAGGUGAGGUAACGGCUCACCUAGGCGACGAUACAUAGCCGACCUGAGAGGGUGAUCGGCCACACUGGGACUGAGACACGGCCCAGACUCCUACGGGAGGCAGCAGUAGGGAAUCUUCGGCAAUGGGGGCAACCCUGACCGAGCAACGCCGCGUGAGUGAAGAAGGUUUUCGGAUCGUAAAGCUCUGUUGUAAGUCAAGAACGAGUGUGAGAGUGGAAAGUUCACACUGUGACGGUAGCUUACCAGAAAGGGACGGCUAACUACGUGCCAGCAGCCGCGGUAAUACGUAGGUCCCGAGCGUUGUCCGGAUUUAUUGGGCGUAAAGCGAGCGCAGGCGGUUUGAUAAGUCUGAAGUUAAAGGCUGUGGCUCAACCAUAGUUCGCUUUGGAAACUGUCAAACUUGAGUGCAGAAGGGGAGAGUGGAAUUCCAUGUGUAGCGGUGAAAUGCGUAGAUAUAUGGAGGAACACCGGUGGCGAAAGCGGCUCUCUGGUCUGUAACUGACGCUGAGGCUCGAAAGCGUGGGGAGCGAACAGGAUUAGAUACCCUGGUAGUCCACGCCGUAAACGAUGAGUGCUAGGUGUUGGAUCCUUUCCGGGAUUCAGUGCCGCAGCUAACGCAUUAAGCACUCCGCCUGGGGAGUACGACCGCAAGGUUGAAACUCAAAGGAAUUGACGGGGGCCCGCACAAGCGGUGGAGCAUGUGGUUUAAUUCGAAGCAACGCGAAGAACCUUACCAGGUCUUGACAUCCCGAUGCUAUUCCUAGAGAUAGAAAGUUACUUCGGUACAUCGGUGACAGGUGGUGCAUGGUUGUCGUCAGCUCGUGUCGUGAGAUGUUGGGUUAAGUCCCGCAACGAGCGCAACCCCUAUUGUUAGUUGCCAUCAUUCAGUUGGGCACUCUAGCGAGACUGCCGGUAAUAAACCGGAGGAAGGUGGGGAUGACGUCAAAUCAUCAUGCCCCUUAUGACCUGGGCUACACACGUGCUACAAUGGUUGGUACAACGAGUUGCGAGUCGGUGACGGCAAGCUAAUCUCUUAAAGCCAAUCUCAGUUCGGAUUGUAGGCUGCAACUCGCCUACAUGAAGUCGGAAUCGCUAGUAAUCGCGGAUCAGCACGCCGCGGUGAAUACGUUCCCGGGCCU